UUCCGGUUGAUCCUGCCGGAGGCCAUUGCUAUCGGAGUCCGAUUUAGCCAUGCUAGUUGUACGAGUUUAGACUCGUAGCGUAUAGCUCAGUAACACGUGGCCAAACUACCCUACAGACCGCAAUAACCUCGGGAAACUGAGGCCAAUAGCGGAUAUAACUCUCUUGCUGGAGUGCUGAGAGUUAGAAACGUUCCGGCGCUGUAGGAUGUGGCUGCGGCCGAUUAGGUAGAUGGUGGGGUAAUGGCCCACCAUGCCGAUAAUCGGUACAAGUUGUGAGAGCAAGAGCUUGGAGACGGUAUCUGAGACAAGAUACCGGGCCCUACGGGGCGCAGCAGGCGCGAAACCUUUACACUGCACGACAGUGCGAUAGGGGGACUCCGAGUGUGAGGGCAUAUAGCCCUCGCUUUUCUGCACCGUAAGGUGGUGCAAGAAUAAGGACUGGGCAAGACCGGUGCCAGCCGCCGCGGU
This 468-nucleotide ribosomal RNA is filed under the name uncultured archaeon. Its description in RNAcentral is "bacterial SSU rRNA". It matches the Rfam family "Archaeal small subunit ribosomal RNA", at positions 1 to 471 of the family's 1478-position model. The record is from RNAcentral.